Molecule: ribosomal RNA, 497 nt
Filed under: uncultured bacterium
Lineage: Bacteria
Description: partial 16S ribosomal RNA
Rfam family: Bacterial small subunit ribosomal RNA
Source: RNAcentral
GAUGAACGCUGGCGGCGUGCCUAAUACAUGCAAGUCGAGCGAACAGACGAGGAGCUUGCUCCUCUGACGUUAGCGGCGGACGGGUGAGUAACACGUGGAUAACCUACCUAUAAGACUGGGAUAACUUCGGGAAACCGGAGCUAAUACCGGAUAAUCUAUUGAACCGCAUGGUUCAAUAGUGAAAGACGGUUUUGCUGUCACUUAUAGAUGGAUCCGCGCCGCAUUAGCUAGUUGGUAAGGUAACGGCUUACCAAGGCAACGAUGCGUAGCCGACCUGAGGGGGUGAUCGGCCACACUGGAACUGAGACACGGUCCAGACUCCUACGGGAGGCAGCAGUAGGGAAUCGUCCGCAAUGGUCGAAAGCCUGACGGAGCAACGCCGCGUGAGUGAUGAAGGUCUUCGGAUCGUAAAACUCUGUUAUUAGGGAAGAACAAAUGUGUAAGUAACUAUGCACGUCUUGACGGUACCUAAUCAGAAAGCCACGGCUAACUACGUG